Molecule: unclassified non-coding RNA, 535 nt
Filed under: Bombus terrestris (buff-tailed bumblebee)
Lineage: Eukaryota; Metazoa; Arthropoda; Insecta; Hymenoptera; Apidae
Description: misc RNA ENSBTSG00005021791.1
Source: RNAcentral
UAAAAUGCUGAAAUUGUUAAUUUGCAACCUAAUAUUUGUUACGAUUGUGCACGACUUUAUGUGUUACCUAUUUAAAUUAACAUUAUGUAGGUAUAUAAGACAUUGUAAGAAAAUAAAAGUAAAAAUUAAAAAUCAAUACCGUAAGUAGGCUCCAUAUUUGAUCAUGUGAGAUAUAUAGUUGCAAAUCUUAGAUUUCAAUGUUCCACAAUUUGGCAAUCCAAAAACGCCUUGAUGUUGACCACCCAAGGAGAUGAAAUUCUUAACUGGGGGAUUGGGGCAUCUUUGAAUUACCGCUCUCCUGAAUUGAGCACCUUGAGAAAAUCCAAUUGCAUUAUAACCGUUUUUAAGACGUUCAUUUUUCAGCAAUUGUUCACAAACUUCUUGUAUUUGCUCAUUAAUAUUUCCAAAGUAACUAUUUUCGACAUCCUAAAAUAUUAUAAUAAAGCGUCAAUAAACACUUAGCUUGCUGCCUAGAAAAACAUCGGUUAUUGGAACAUCACUGUCUAGUAACUAUUAAUGAGCAAAAAUGAGAUAG